This 484-nucleotide ribosomal RNA is filed under the name uncultured bacterium. RNAcentral's name for it is "partial 16S ribosomal RNA". It matches the Rfam family "Bacterial small subunit ribosomal RNA", at positions 28 to 523 of the family's 1533-position model. The record is from RNAcentral.
GACGAACGCUGGCGGCGUGCUUAACACAUGCAAGUCGAACGAUGAAGCCGGAGCUUGCUCUGGUGAAUUAGUGGCGAACGGGUGAGUAACACGUGAGUAACCUGCCCUUGACUCUGGGAUAACUGCGGGAAACUGUAGCUAAUACCGGAUACGACCCUCGGAGGCAUCUCCUGGGGGUGGAAAGAAUUUCGGUCAAGGAUGGACUCGCGGCCUAGCAGCUAGUUGGUGAGGUAAAGGCUCACCAAGGCGACGACGGGUAGCCUGCCUGAGAGGGUGACAGGCCACACUGGCACUGAGACACGGCCCAGACUCCUACGGGAGGCAGCAGUGGGGAAUAUUGCACAAUGGGCGCAAGCCUGAUGCAGCAACGCCGCGUGAGGGAUGACGGCCUUCGGGUUGUACACCUCUUUUAGCAGGGAAGAAGCGAAAGUGACGGUACCUGCAGAAAAAGCACCGGCUAACUACGUGCCAGCCGCCGCCGUAA